This 484-nucleotide ribosomal RNA is filed under the name uncultured bacterium. Its description in RNAcentral is "partial 16S ribosomal RNA". It matches the Rfam family "Bacterial small subunit ribosomal RNA", at positions 31 to 507 of the family's 1533-position model. The record is from RNAcentral.
AUGGAACGCUGGCGGCAGGCCUAACACAUGCAAGUCGAGCGGAUGAAGGGAGCUUGCUCCUGGAUUCAGCGGCGGACGGGUGAGUAAUGCCUAGGAAUCUGCCUGGUAGUGGGGGAUAACGUCCGGAAACGGGCGCUAAUACCGCAUACGUCCUGAGGGAGAAAGUGGGGGAUCUUCGGACCUCACGCUAUCAGAUGAGCCUAGGUCGGAUUAGCUAGUUGGUGGGGUAAAGGCCUACCAAGGCGACGAUCCGUAACUGGUCUGAGAGGAUGAUCAGUCACACUGGAACUGAGACACGGUCCAGACUCCUACGGGAGGCAGCAGUGGGGAAUAUUGGACAAUGGGCGAAAGCCUGAUCCAGCCAUGCCGCGUGUGUGAAGAAGGUCUUCGGAUUGUAAAGCACUUUAAGUUGGGAGGAAGGGCAGUAAGUUAAUACCUUGCUGUUUUGACGUUACCAACAGAAUAAGCACCGGCUAACUUCGUG